Molecule: long non-coding RNA, 380 nt
Filed under: Homo sapiens (human)
Lineage: Eukaryota; Metazoa; Chordata; Mammalia; Primates; Hominidae
Description: HSALNT0243700
Source: RNAcentral
GCCGGCCCUCAGGAAGGGCCUCUGGGUGGCCUCUGCAUCCCUGGCUGGAGAAUGCGCACAGUUUGCAGAGGCUCAGAACUCCCAAUCGUCCACCUCCAGCUCUUCCAGGUUUGUUACCAGGCCAAAGAUUCCACUGUGGUCCUGAGACUGGCUGCCCUCAAAAUUGGUGAUGGGGGUGACAGGACGAAGCAAUUCGGGCAAAGCCUCUGAGGCACGUCGCUUGAUCUGGGGGAGAAGAGAGAGGUCCUUCUCAGCCAACCUUUCUGACUCACUAUGGCCAGGACACCGGAAACAUGGCAGCCACAAAGGAAAGAUGGCAAAAGAGCUUCUUUCCUGGAAGUUUGAUCUCUUCCCAUACUUGGCAUAAAAAAACAGAGAAG